Molecule: long non-coding RNA, 1161 nt
Organism: Oncorhynchus kisutch (coho salmon)
Lineage: Eukaryota; Metazoa; Chordata; Actinopteri; Salmoniformes; Salmonidae
Exons: 2
Source: RefSeq, a predicted model, not a curated record
CCAAAAUAUAUUUUGCAACCAGCGAGGGGAGCAUCAUAAGUAACAGGAAGUCUUGCUCAAAUACUAAAACUAUCAAAUGUUUUUCAAAGGUUUUAUAGUCAUUAUUACAGGUCUAGAACAUGGUCUCAGCAAUGAUGUCAGUUUAAGGUUUCAGUGAAGAUUUUAAGACAUGGAUUUCCAAAACUUGUGUUUCUCAAUUUUCUCUCUUAUUCCAUUGUAACAUCUUCAGGAUUAAUGGUUUGAAUUCAGCUGAUGUUAUCUCAGUGGUGCCCUCAAAAUGGUAUGCAGCUUGCUGUUGGUCAGAGGUGCUACAACACUGAGGUUCAGCUCAGGGUCUGUUGCUGUCCCAGUCUUAUAUUGCUUAAUGAUAAUAUCUGCUUAUCUGAAGACCUUCAAUUCAACGACUGUCACAGUUAGUCCUGGGGGCACCGUUUCUCUGGACUGCAAUGUAGAACACCAUGAAGAAACCCUAUGGUACGGACAGCGAUGUGACAAGGUGCCCUUCCUCAUGGUGUCUACUACCACGAAGACUGGAGGAGGGAAUAUUCAACAUAAAGGUUCUGGAGGUUUUUCUACUAAACAUCUCCAAAGCAACAAGUCCAUCAGUCUGAUCAUCAACAACAUCACUGAAUCUGUUCUAGGACUCUACUAUUGUACUUCUAAUGGAAAGGUUUAGUCUGGCUGCAUCCUUAGCUAUACUGGUGAUGGUAUGUACUAAAUAGCGUAAUUUAACUUUCUUGCUAUUUCUCUGAAUAGAUUGAUGAGUAAAGUCUAUCAAUGGAAAUGUAUAUUUCCUUGAAACAGAUCAGACCAGUGGGUCAAAGACAUCGUCUCAUUCUCAGUCUACUGAUGCUCUGUCUUCAGCAACUCCAUCCUCUGAUCAGUGCUGGAUGCUGGUGGCCAUCUUGUCUCCUUUCUGUGUCAUCUUUGCUAUGGCUGCUCUGCUCUCCUCUGUCGGUGCCUGGUGAAUCUAUAAAAGAAAAGGUCAAGCUUUUUUACUAAAAGGGAUUUGUUAUUGGCAUGCAAGUGUUGUUCUGUGUUUAUUUGGAAAUAUUGGAGGGUUGACCACUGUUUAUUCAUGAUUGAUUGAUAGUUCAGAAUAUUUGAUAUGAUCAAAUUAAAUAUGUAUUUGCAUAUUUACCAAUUAAAUAUGUUUUUGUA